UUGGGGGAUCUUGCGCAUGGGCGAAGCCUGAGCAGCGACGCCGCGUGAGGGAUGACGGCCUUCGGGUUGUAAACCUCUUUCAGCUCCGACGAAGCGGAAGUGACGGUAGGAGCAGAAGAAGCACCGGCCAACUACGUGCCAGCACCCGGGGUUAUACGUAGGGUGCACGCUUUGUCCGGAAUUAUUGGGCGUAAAGAGCUCGUAGGCGGUCUGUCGCGUCGGCUGUGAAAACUCGGGGCUCAACUCCGAGCUUGCAGUCGAUACGGGCAGGCUAGAGUUCGGCAGGGGAGACUGGUAUUCCUGGUGUAGCGGGGGAAAUGCCCAAAUAUAAGGGGGAACACCGGUGGCGGAGGCGUCCGGUGGGCCUGUCCUGACGCUGGGGAGCUAUGGCGUGACGAGAGAAAUUACUGGUAGUCCGGCCCCCACAUUGGUGCUAGGUUGUGAUCGCUUCCUCGUUUCUUUCCGCCAUCAACAAUAUCCCCCCCCCCCCUCGGUUUUGGCGCGGGCGAAAAUAAAAAAAUUGA
This 524-nucleotide ribosomal RNA is filed under the name uncultured bacterium. RNAcentral describes it as "partial 16S ribosomal RNA". It matches the Rfam family "Bacterial small subunit ribosomal RNA", at positions 354 to 913 of the family's 1533-position model. The record is from RNAcentral.